GAUGAAGAACGUAGCGAAAUGCGAUAAGUAAUGUGAAUUGCAGAAUUCAGUGAAUCAUCGAGUCUUUGAACGCACAUUGCGCCCCCUGGUAUUCCGGGGGGCAUGCCUGUCCGAGCGUCAUUGCUGCCCUCAAGCACGGCUUGUGUGUUGGGCCCCCGUCCCCGGUUUCCCCCGGGGACGGGCCCGAAAGGCAGCGGCGGCACCGCGUCCGGUCCUCGAGCGUAUGGGGCUUUGUCACCCACUCUGUAGGCCCGGCCGGCGCCAGCCGACACCCAACUUUAUUUCUAAGGUUGACCUCGGAUCAGGUAGGGAUACCCGCUGAACUUAAGCAUAUCAAUAAGCGGAGGA
Molecule: unclassified non-coding RNA, 348 nt
Filed under: soil metagenome
Description: partial contains 5.8S ribosomal RNA, internal transcribed spacer 2, and large subunit ribosomal RNA
Rfam family: 5.8S ribosomal RNA (bases 1-120)
Source: RNAcentral